RNAcentral lists this unclassified non-coding RNA (164 nucleotides) under uncultured Mortierellaceae. RNAcentral describes it as "sequence contains ITS1". Lineage: Eukaryota; Fungi; Mortierellomycota; Mortierellomycetes; Mortierellales; Mortierellaceae. The record is from RNAcentral.
UAAUAAGUGUUUUUAUGGCACUUUAAAUCCAUAUCCACCUUGUGUGCAAUGUCAUCUCACUGGGGUCACGUUUGUAAAAUCUCGUGGUCCUUUUGGGAUUUAUAUCUACUCAGAACUUUAGUCAUUUUGUCUGAAACAUAUUAUGAAUAACUUAAUUCAAAAUA